Molecule: long non-coding RNA, 157 nt
Organism: Aegilops tauschii subsp. strangulata
Lineage: Eukaryota; Viridiplantae; Streptophyta; Magnoliopsida; Poales; Poaceae
Source: RefSeq, a predicted model, not a curated record
AUAACUUUUUAACCACAACUCCAAAUGAGCCCCUCCGAGAGAGAACUGUUUCCGGCAAAUCUUUUCGCGGCUUCACCGCACUUCUCCCCGAUGCCUUCUUCACCCCCAGCUUGCAGGUCGUGCCUGGAUUGCUUGCUUGUUUGGUGUUGUCCCUGUG